UCACACACCAAAGUUUAUGUACAGAUCACAUAGCAACCAAACACACACAUCCAUGCUAUAGAGGGAUUCAAUCUAUCAGAAGAUUCUUAAUCAGAAUACACACUACAUCAAAUUCAAAUACAUUUUAAACGUGUAUAUAUAUAUAUAUAUAUAUAUAUAUAUAUAUAAAGUCUAUUUGCCUAAAAUGGAUUUGAUCCACCAAAUGCCUUUGGUGUCUUGGGAUCCUUCUUCUGCCCCUGGUGGUGGCGGAUCACUCUGUGGAGUCUUGUGGAGUUUGCUCACAUCAUAUCCUUCGUCAAUGGCUUUCUGAACAAGAAAAUUGUAGAUAUCUUCAUCCAAAUGGGUUUUUCUGCAUAAAAUCUACAAUUCAUAAUUCACCAACGUUAGCUCAGCAAAAUCAAAUUAACACCAAGCUUUUUAAACUAACUGUAGCAGCAAUGCCAACACAUAACUUUCAACUUAUCAGUAUCAGUUUGCAGUAACAUUCUGAAUUGGUAAAGCUUCAACCUCAGUAAUGUCUUGAAUUCAAGACCCAUUACUCAAAACAAGAAUACCCCAUUUCCCAUUCUUCUCAAUAUUCAUUUAAAGAUAAAAAAACAUAAAUCUUUGACAAAACUUUAUCCUCAUUGUUUCUCUUUCAAAUACAAAACCACCUUUUCAGCACAAAACCCUCUGUCAUAGAACUUUAUGCUCGGAACUAAUACUGUCCAAUAUUAAACACAUUUUUUAUUUCCUAAUGUGGAUUUUGAAGAAACCAGUUACCAAGCAAAUCAUGGAAAAAAAAAAAGGGUCGAGGAAGAUUAUGGUUUUCGCUUUUACAUUCGAAGAUCAGCCUAAGAUCAUCACAACAACCACCUUCAAAUAUAAAGAAAAAUCACAAGAGUUUUGCAAAGUUAAAUACAAACUUAAAAUGAUUCGUACUAUCGACUUAAUAUAGUUACUAACACCAUAUCGAUCAGCAGAACACAGUAGAAAAACAGAGACAAGAAAAAAAUAAAUAGCAACAGAAGUUAAAUAGGUUUACUUACCCAAAGGUAAUUCCUGCUUGGUUGGCCGAUCAAAGCAUACUGAUAAUCGUCAUCAAUGUAGAGGACCCAGUAGUCCCCAGUGACAGGGAAGAGGGGCAAGAAAGGUGGAACAUAGAAUUUUACCUUUAACUUGGCUUCGUCAGAUUUUGGGUCUGCCUUGUAAGCAGUACCCUCUAUAUAGCCUCUCUUUCCAUUAGACCAAGUCUCGUUGAGUACAUGCACAGUACCAUCUUUGUUAAGGGUAUAUGUGGCUCUGCUGUUCACACCAUCCUUUGGCUGAUUACGCGAAGGGAAUGAGCCAAUCUCGUACCAUCGACCCAUGUACCUUUCCAAGUCCAAACCUUUCACAACUUUCAUCUCUUCCUUCGCCAUUACCACCUUAUAAUGGGAAGUAACACGACACAGAGAUCAAACAAACGAUGAUUUUCUGGGUACUCUCAAGUUGUGCCCUUUUAUGAAGUUUCUGAUAAGUGUGUCUAUACAUACAUUCGACAGAG
This 1525-nucleotide long non-coding RNA is filed under the name Vigna radiata. Its description in RNAcentral is "long non-coding RNA (VRAD_LNC002547)". Lineage: Eukaryota; Viridiplantae; Streptophyta; Magnoliopsida; Fabales; Fabaceae. The record is from RNAcentral.